RNAcentral lists this long non-coding RNA (501 nucleotides) under Fukomys damarensis (Damara mole-rat). RNAcentral describes it as "lncRNA (ENSFDAG00000023142.1)". The record is from RNAcentral. Lineage: Eukaryota; Metazoa; Chordata; Mammalia; Rodentia; Bathyergidae.
AUGCUCGGCGCAGCGCUACAAAAUAUCUCUCAUCUGUAUGCUUCAUUUGGAGACUAUUGGAGUAUGUCUUUCACCAAAUUAAAAAAGCAAGAAGCAGAAGACGUCAGAUGCAGGAAAUAGAAAAACCGCCACAGAAGCACUGAAAAGAACAGUCCACACUUAUUUGAAAGGUAGCCACCAGAAUGACAUUUGUCCAUGGGCCUCCAUGAAGGAAACCAGUUUCUGGUGAAGCAUAAAGAGAGAGGGGAAAGACAAUAUUCCCAAGAUCUUUGCUUUCUUCUUUGUCCUAUAACUACCCAUAGACGACUUCUGUUUUGUUGCUUAUCAUGACUGCCGACUUUUAAAACAGAACAGUUGAAGCACGAGUAGGUUCAGUUCCAAGUCCAAUUUUCUGCCAGCAUUCUGAAGUAAAUCUCUUUAGUCAAUGUCAGGCCAAGCUCUCUGAAGACAGAGGAAGUCAGCAGUUUUAUCCAGGGUGAGAAUUAAUUAAUCCAAAGCGCC